Molecule: ribosomal RNA, 301 nt
Filed under: uncultured bacterium
Lineage: Bacteria
Description: partial 16S ribosomal RNA
Rfam family: Bacterial small subunit ribosomal RNA
Source: RNAcentral
CAGUCGCCGCGGUAAUACGAGGGGGGCAAGCGUUGUUCGGAAUUAUUGGGCGUAAAGGGUGCGUAGGCGGUUUGACAAGUCUUAUGUGAAAUCUCUGGGCUCAACCCAGAGUCUGCAUGGGAAACUGUCGGGCUUGAGUAUGGGAGAGGUGAGUGGAAUUUCCGGUGUAGCGGUGAAAUGCGUAGAUAUCGGAAGGAACACCUGUGGCGAAAGCGGCUCACUGGACCAUAACUGACGCUGAGGCACGAAAGCUAGGGGAGCAAACAGGAUUAGAUACCCCCGUAGUCCCUGUCUCUUAUAC